Molecule: ribosomal RNA, 446 nt
Filed under: uncultured bacterium
Lineage: Bacteria
Description: partial 16S ribosomal RNA
Rfam family: Bacterial small subunit ribosomal RNA
Source: RNAcentral
AACGAACGCUGGCGGCAGGCCUAACACAUGCAAGUCGAGCGCCCCGCAAGGGGAGCGGCGGACGGGUGAGUAACGCGUGGGAACGUACCCCUUUCUACGGAAUAGCCUCGGGAAACUGGAGUAAUACCGUAUAAGCUCUUCGGAGGAAAGAUUUAUCGGGAAGGGAUCGGCCCGCGUUGGAUUAGGUAGUUGGUGGGGUAAUGGCCUACCAAGCCGACGAUCCAUAGCUGGUUUGAGAGGAUGAUCAGCCACACUGGGACUGAGACACGGCCCAGACUCCUACGGGAGGCAGCAGUGGGGAAUCUUAGACAAUGGGCGCAAGCCUGAUCUAGCCAUGCCGCGUGAGCGAUGAAGGCCUUAGGGUUGUAAAGCUCUUUCAGUGGGGAAGAUAAUGACUGUACCCACAGAAGAAGCCCCGGCUAACUCCGUGCCAGCAGCCGCCGUAA